GGAAAAAUCGGUCAUGAUUCAAUAAUACAAGGUUGCAUAACCUGGCAAAUAUUGUGUUCGUAUAAAAAGUUCAACAGGCAACACUGCCGAUAUUUUCAACGAUUGUUUUGUGGAAAUUCAUUUUCUUAUUGCGCAAAUUCAAAGUCUCCGAGUUAUUCACAAUUCGUAUUAACUAGAGAAGAACUAGAGUUUUACAAGACGUAAAGUUUUUCAUAUUUACAAGUCCGGAUCAUCUGUGUGUCCGCCUACAUUCGCUGGUGCAGGGAUUCUCCCUAUUACAGCCUUUCCAUAUUUACAAGUCCGGAUCAUUUGUAUGCCCGUCUACAUUCGCUGGUGCAGCGAUUUUUAUGUACUUCCAGGAUUCUAAUCCGAUCGCAGGUACAACUUUUUCCUUACCGCAAGCUCAACAUAAUCGUAGCGCAGCCCACUUUUUGCGCAAGGCCUUUACAAUAUCGCACACCGUGUUCAAAAGAGUCACAACUCAAAUAAUAUGUUUGUAAGAAAAUGCGAAAAACUAUUUUUUAGCACAUGGUAAUCACAUGGACAAGGGCGACUUUACCUUAGGUUUUUUUUUAACAAAUUAUAAAAAAAAAAUUUCUGCAGCUUUUGCUGAAAGUUAAAUAG
This is a long non-coding RNA of Rhagoletis pomonella (apple maggot), 624 nucleotides long. RefSeq lists it as uncharacterized. The record is from RefSeq and is a predicted model, not a curated record. NCBI's taxonomy places the organism in Eukaryota, Metazoa, Arthropoda, Insecta, Diptera, Tephritidae. The transcript is spliced from 4 exons.